UACGUAAGGGGCAAGCGUUGUCCGGAAUCACUGGGCGUAAAGGGCGCGUAGGCGGUUCGUUAAGUCGGGAGUGAAAGCGCUGGGCUCAACCCAGCAACGGCUCACGAGACUGACGGGCUAGAGGGUCCUAGGGGAUGCUGGAAUUCCAGGUGUAGCGGUGAAAUGCGUAGAUAUCUGGGAGAACACCCGUGGCGAAGGCGGGCAUCUGGGGGACACCUGACGCUGAGGCGCGAAAGCUAGGGGAGCGAACGGG
Molecule: ribosomal RNA, 253 nt
Filed under: uncultured bacterium
Lineage: Bacteria
Description: partial 16S ribosomal RNA
Rfam family: Bacterial small subunit ribosomal RNA
Source: RNAcentral